RNAcentral lists this unclassified non-coding RNA (88 nucleotides) under Pseudomonas sp. Z003-0.4C(8344-21). Lineage: Bacteria; Pseudomonadati; Pseudomonadota; Gammaproteobacteria; Pseudomonadales; Pseudomonadaceae. The record is from RNAcentral.
GUAGGAGUGAGCCUGCUCGCGAUAGCGUCAGCACAGUCAGCAUCUCCAUCGGCUGAACCGCCGCAAUCGCGAGCAGGCUCACUCCUAC